UACGGGGGGAGCAAGCGUUGUUCGGAAUCACUGGGCGUAAAGGGCGUGUAGGCGGUCUGGUAAGUGGGAUGUGAAAGCCCCCGGCUCACCCGGGGAUCUGCAUUCCAAACUGCCAGACUUGAGUAUGGGAGAGGACAGGGGAAUUCCUGGUGUAGCGGUGAAAUGCGUAGAUAUCAGGAGGAACACCGGUGGCGAAAGCGCCUGUCUGGCCCAAUACUGACGCUGAUGCGCGAAAGCUAGGGGAGCAAACGGG
RNAcentral lists this ribosomal RNA (253 nucleotides) under uncultured bacterium. RNAcentral's name for it is "partial 16S ribosomal RNA". It matches the Rfam family "Bacterial small subunit ribosomal RNA", at positions 524 to 776 of the family's 1533-position model. The record is from RNAcentral.